ACGCCAUAGAGGGUGAGAGCCCCGUCUGGUUGGACACCGAUCCUCUGUAAAGCUCCUUCGAYAGYCGGUAGUUUGGGAAUGCUGCUCUAAAUGGGAGGUAUAUGUCUUCUAAGCUAAAUACCGGCCAGAGACCGAUAGCGCACAAGUAGAGUGAUCGAAAGAUGAAAAGAACUUUGAAAAGAGAGUUAAAAAGUACGUGAAAUUGUUGAAAGGGAAGCGCUUGUGACCAGACUUGGGCUUGGUUGAUCAUCCGGGGUUCUCCCCGGUGCACUCUUCCGGCUCAGGCCAGCAUCAGUUCGCCCUGGGGGAUAAAGGCUUCGGGAAUGUGGCUCUCUCCGGGGAGUGUUAUAGCCCGCUGCGUAAUACCCUGUGGCGGACUGAGGUUCGCGCAUUCGCAAGGAUGCUGGCGUAAUGGUCAUCAGUGACCCGUCUUGAAACACGGACCAA
Molecule: ribosomal RNA, 447 nt
Filed under: Fusarium sp. ICT SAC1
Lineage: Eukaryota; Fungi; Ascomycota; Sordariomycetes; Hypocreales; Nectriaceae
Description: eukaryotic LSU rRNA
Rfam family: Eukaryotic large subunit ribosomal RNA
Source: RNAcentral